UACAGAGGGUGCGAGCGUUAAUCGGAAUUACUGGGCGUAAAGCGUGCGUAGACGGUUAUUUAAGUCGGGUGUGAAAGCCCCCGGCUCAACUGGGGAGGGUCACGCGAUACUGAUCGACUCGAAGGCAGGAGAGGGUAGUGGAAUUCCCGGUGUAGUGGUGAAAUGCGUAGAUAUCGGGAGGAACACCAGUGGCGAAGGCGACUACCUGGCCUGUUUCUUGACGCUGAGGCGCGAAAGCUAGGGGAGCAAACGGG
This 254-nucleotide ribosomal RNA is filed under the name uncultured bacterium. RNAcentral's name for it is "partial 16S ribosomal RNA". It matches the Rfam family "Bacterial small subunit ribosomal RNA", at positions 524 to 776 of the family's 1533-position model. The record is from RNAcentral.